CUGUUUUCAUUUCUUAUUUGUGUAUUCACUGGAAUAGCAGUUUUAAUUUCCUUGAACAAUGUUUUCCUUUGCAUUCACCACUUGGCUAACUGGUGCAAGAGGCCUCGCUUCUGGCCUGUCUCAGCUGUUGACAAGCCUUCCUCACUAAGCUUAAUCAUUUCUAGCUUUUGAUUUAAAGUGAGAAACAUGCCACUCUUCCUUUCACUUGAACACUUGCAGGCCAAUGUAAGGUUAUUAAUUGUCCUCAUUUCAAUAUUCCUGUGUCUCAGGGAAUAGGGAGGCCCAAGGAGAGGGAAAAAGAUGGGGGAAUAGCUG
Sapajus apella (tufted capuchin) is the source of this 315-nucleotide long non-coding RNA. RefSeq lists it as uncharacterized. The record is from RefSeq and is a predicted model, not a curated record. Lineage: Eukaryota; Metazoa; Chordata; Mammalia; Primates; Cebidae. The transcript is spliced from 4 exons.